GCAAUGUCCUGAGGACACAAAGCAAAAGUGAAGCAUAUUGGAAUUUGUCCAAGGUCUAUGGUUCUUUGCUAACAUUUUUCCCCAAGAUGGAGAUGCCUCGUUUAGAUUUGUGUUGUGACUACCGCCAAUGUCUGUGGAACACCAUGACCAGUUUGUGAGCUGACUUGGAAGAAUGUCAUCCAGCCCAAGUUGAGCCAUCUCAGCUGAAAUUAUAUUAUGAGAUCCUGGGCAGCAAGCAAGUGCACGCUGAGCAGAGACUUUUACAUGCCUCAGAAAGAUGAGAAAAGUGAGCCCCAGAAUGGCAGAAAAUGAAACAAUGCAAAAUUUUUAGAUAGAAAAAAG
RNAcentral lists this long non-coding RNA (342 nucleotides) under Callithrix jacchus (white-tufted-ear marmoset). RNAcentral's name for it is "lncRNA (ENSCJAG00000070231.1)". The record is from RNAcentral. Lineage: Eukaryota; Metazoa; Chordata; Mammalia; Primates; Cebidae.